UUACUGUGAUGAGCUUUCCCACUUCAUGGUCCGUGUUUUUGACAGCUGUGAUAUGAAUGAAGUUCUGAGUCU
This is a small nucleolar RNA of Hippocampus comes (tiger tail seahorse), 72 nucleotides long. Its record names the gene SNORD18. It matches the Rfam family "Small nucleolar RNA SNORD18". Rfam says of the family: U18 is a member of the C/D class of snoRNA which contain the C (UGAUGA) and D (CUGA) box motifs. It is encoded in introns of ribosomal protein L1 in Xenopus and human, and in introns of elongation factor 1 beta in yeast. The record is from Ensembl. NCBI's taxonomy places the organism in Eukaryota, Metazoa, Chordata, Actinopteri, Syngnathiformes, Syngnathidae.